This 253-nucleotide ribosomal RNA is filed under the name uncultured bacterium. RNAcentral's name for it is "partial 16S ribosomal RNA". It matches the Rfam family "Bacterial small subunit ribosomal RNA", at positions 524 to 776 of the family's 1533-position model. The record is from RNAcentral.
AACGUAGGUACCGAGCGUUAUCCGGAUUUACUGGGCGUAAAGCGCGUUCAGGCGGCUCAGCAAGUCGGGCAUGAAAUCUCUCGGCUCAACCGGGAGGGGCUGUCCGAAACUGCUGGGCUUGAGGGCAGUAGAGGGUGGUGGAAUUCCGGGUGUAGUGGUGAAAUGCGUAGAUAUCCGGAGGAACACCAGUGGCGAAAGCGGCCACCUGGACUGUACCUGACGCUCCAACGCGAAAGCUAGGGGAGCGAACGGG